AGGAGGAACAGCCCCAGUGGCGGGGCAGCUCUGGAAACCUGGAUUCAGCUCCGGAAACCUGGAUUCAGCUCCGGCAGGAACUCCGUCUGCAGGGCCUGGAGGCUCCGGGGCGGG
Canis lupus familiaris (dog) is the source of this 114-nucleotide non-coding RNA. NCBI's taxonomy places the organism in Eukaryota, Metazoa, Chordata, Mammalia, Carnivora, Canidae. The record is from Rfam.